AGUCGAGGGGUAUAAGUCUUCGGAUUUAGAGACCGGCGCACGGGUGCGUAACGCGUAUGCAAUCUACCUUUUACAGAGGGAUAGCCCAGAGAAAUUUGGAUUAAUACCUCAUAGUAUUAUAGAAUGGCAUCAUUUUAUAAUUAAAGUCACAACGGUAAAAGAUGAGCAUGCGUCCCAUUAGCUAGUUGGUAAGGUAACGGCUUACCAAGGCUACGAUGGGUAGGGGUCCUGAGAGGGAGAUCCCCCACACUGGUACUGAGACACGGACCAGACUCCUACGGGAGGCAGCAGUGAGGAAUAUUGGACAAUGGGCGCAAGCCUGAUCCAGCCAUGCCGCGUGCAGGAUGACGGUCCUAUGGAUUGUAAACUGCUUUUAUACGAGAAGAAACACUCCUUCGUGAAGGAGCUUGACGGUAUCGUAAGAAUAAGGAUCGGCUAACUCCGUGCCAGCAGCCGCGGUAAUACGGAGGAUCCAAGCGUUAUCCGGAAUCAUUGGGUUUAAAGGGUCCGUAGGCGGUUUAAUAAGUCAGUGGUGAAAGCCCAUCGCUCAACGGUGGAACGGCCAUUGAUACUGUUAGACUUGAAUUAUUAGGAAGUAACUAGAAUAUGUAGUGUAGCGGUGAAAUGCUUAGAGAUUACAUGGAAUACCAAUUGCGAAGGCAGGUUACUACUAAUUGAUUGACGCUGAUGGACGAAAGCGUGGGUAGCGAACAGGAUUAGAUACCCUGGUAGUCCACGCCGUAAACGAUGGAUACUAGCUGUUGGGAGCAAUCUCAGUGGCUAAGCGAAAGUGAUAAGUAUCCCACCUGGGGAGUACGUUCGCAAGAAUGAAACUCAAAGGAAUUGACGGGG
This 852-nucleotide ribosomal RNA is filed under the name Flavobacterium sp. 001xTSA12A_D01. RNAcentral's name for it is "bacterial SSU rRNA". It matches the Rfam family "Bacterial small subunit ribosomal RNA", at positions 60 to 918 of the family's 1533-position model. Lineage: Bacteria; Pseudomonadati; Bacteroidota; Flavobacteriia; Flavobacteriales; Flavobacteriaceae. The record is from RNAcentral.